AUUGAACGCUGGCGGCAUGCUUUACACAUGCAAGUCGAACGGUAACAGGCCUUCGGGGCGCUGACGAGCGGCGCACGGGUGCGUAACGCGUAUGCAACCUACCUCAUACGAGGGGGAUAGCCCGGAGAAAUCUGGAUUAAUACCCCAUGGCAUCCCGGAGUCGCAUGGCUUCCGGGAUUAAAGAUUCAUCGGUAUGAGAUGGGCAUGCGUCUGAUUAGCUAGUUGGCGGUGUAACGGACCACCAAGGCGACGAUCAGUAGGGGUUCUGAGAGGAAGGUCCCCCACACUGGCACUGAGAUACGGGCCAGACUCCUACGGGAGGCAGCAGUAGGGAAUAUUGGGCAAUGGACGAGAGUCUGACCCAGCCAUGCCGCGUGCAGGAAGACGGCGUUCUGCGUUGUAAACUGCUUUUAUCUGGGAAGAAAAGGCCCAUGCGUGGGACAUUGCCGGUACCAGAUGAAUAAGCACCGGCUAACUCCGUG
Molecule: ribosomal RNA, 482 nt
Filed under: uncultured bacterium
Lineage: Bacteria
Description: bacterial SSU rRNA
Rfam family: Bacterial small subunit ribosomal RNA
Source: RNAcentral